CACAGAGGGAUGGUUUUGUACUUUUGCGACGCCUUUAAAGAGAAGUCAUUACCCGCUCCUCCGACCCCCUGAAGGACACAGGCAGCGUGCUCAGGUGUAUCGGACGGAGGAUGACUUAUCGCACUGUUCCAGGGCUGAACAUUUCUGUGCAGAGGCUGGGGACAUUGAGACAGGGACCAGCUUCACGAGACACCUCCACUGAGGUUUCAAGGUCAUCACCGCAUGUCAUGGAGAAGAGGAAUGGAGGAGACUCCUCUGGUGAAAACUGCCUCUCAGUGACCAACCCACGGGUAUGAAC
Molecule: long non-coding RNA, 298 nt
Filed under: Lepisosteus oculatus (spotted gar)
Lineage: Eukaryota; Metazoa; Chordata; Actinopteri; Semionotiformes; Lepisosteidae
Description: lncRNA (ENSLOCG00000023150.1)
Source: RNAcentral